GGUGCGAGCGUUAAUCGGAAUUACUGGGCGUAAAGCGUGCGCAGGCGGCUUUGCAAGACAGAGGUGAAAUCCCCGGGCUCAACCUGGGAACUGCCUUUGUGACUGCAAGGCUAGAGUACGGCAGAGGGGGAUGGAAUUCCGCGUGUAGCAGUGAAAUGCGUAGAUAUGCGGAGGAACACCGAUGGCGAAGGCAAUCCCCUGGGCCUGUACUGACGCUCAUGCACGAAAGCGUGGGGAGCAAACAGGAUUAGAUACCCUGGUAGUCAAGGGCG
RNAcentral lists this ribosomal RNA (272 nucleotides) under uncultured Burkholderiales bacterium. Its description in RNAcentral is "partial 16S ribosomal RNA". It matches the Rfam family "Bacterial small subunit ribosomal RNA", at positions 531 to 802 of the family's 1533-position model. The record is from RNAcentral. Lineage: Bacteria; Pseudomonadati; Pseudomonadota; Betaproteobacteria; Burkholderiales.